CUAGGUGUAGGCGGUAUUCCACGCCGUCUGUGCCGCAGCUAACGCAUUAAGCACCCCGCCUGGGGAGUACGGCCGCAAGGCUAAAACUCAAAGGAAUUGACGGGGGCCCGCACAAGCAGCGGAGCAUGUGGCUUAAUUCGACGCAACGCGAAGAACCUUACCAAGGCUUGACAUACACCGAAAACUCGUAGAGAUACGGGGUCCGCAAGGGCGGUGUACAGGUGGUGCAUGGUUGUCGUCAGCUCGUGUCGUGAGAUGUUGGGUUAAGUCCCGCAACGAGCGCAACCCUCGUUCUAUGUUGCCAGCACGUCAUGGUGGGGACUCAUAGGAGACUGCCGGGGUCAACUCGGAGGAAGGUGGGGACGACGUCAAAUCAUCAUGCCCCUUAUGUCUUGGGCUGCACACAUGCUACAAUGGCCGGUACAAAGGGCUGCUAAACCGCGAGGUGGAGCGAAUCCCAAAAAGCCGGUCUCAGUUCGGAUUGGGGUCUGCAACUCGACCCCAUGAAGUCGGAGUUGCUAGUAAUCGCAGAUCAGCAACGCUGCGGUGAAUACGUUCCCGGGCCUUGUACACACCGCCCGUCACGUCACGAAAGUCGGUAACACCCGAAGCCAGUGGCCCGACUCGCAAGAGAGGGAGCUGUCGAAGGUGGGGCUG
Molecule: ribosomal RNA, 657 nt
Filed under: uncultured bacterium
Lineage: Bacteria
Description: bacterial SSU rRNA
Rfam family: Bacterial small subunit ribosomal RNA
Source: RNAcentral